AGAGACAGCAGUCGCCGCGGUAAUGCGUAGGUGGCGAGCGUUGUCCGGAAUUAUUGGGCGUAAAGGGAGCGCAGGCGGACAUAUAUGUCCAUCUUAAAAGUGCGGGGCUCAACCCCGUGAGGGGAUGGAAACUGUAUGCCUUGAGUGCAGGAGAGGAAAGCGGAAUUCCCAGUGUAGCGGUGAAAUGCGUAGAUAUUGGGAGGAACACCAGUGGCGAAGGCGGCUUUUUGGCCUGUAACUGACACUGAGGCGCGAAAGCGUGGGGAGCAAACAGGGUUAGAUACCCCCGUAGUCCCUGUCUCUUAUACA
RNAcentral lists this ribosomal RNA (309 nucleotides) under uncultured bacterium. RNAcentral describes it as "partial 16S ribosomal RNA". It matches the Rfam family "Bacterial small subunit ribosomal RNA", at positions 504 to 808 of the family's 1533-position model. The record is from RNAcentral.